This 323-nucleotide ribosomal RNA is filed under the name uncultured eukaryote. Its description in RNAcentral is "partial 18S ribosomal RNA". It matches the Rfam family "Eukaryotic small subunit ribosomal RNA", at positions 1470 to 1796 of the family's 1831-position model. The record is from RNAcentral.
CCCUUAGAUGUUCUGGGCUGCACGCGUGCAACACUGAUAUUGCCAAUAUGUCAUUCUUAUCCGAAAUGGAUUGGGUAAUCAAGUAAUGAAACUUCAUGCUUGGAAUCGGUAAUUGCAAUUUUAUCGUGAACGAGGAAUUCCUAGUAAGCACUAGUCAUCAGCUAAUGUUGAUUAUGUCCCUGCCCUUUGUACACACCGCCCGUCGCUACUACUGAUUGGGUGUUCAAGUGAGAUGCUUAGACCCUUGUUGCAUGGUUCAUUAUUGUGCUCCGAAAGGAAAAAGUUUCAAGCUUGAGUGUCUAGAGGAAGUAAAAGUCGUAACA